Cinara cedri is the source of this 234-nucleotide non-coding RNA. The record is from the annotation of a GenBank genome assembly. NCBI's taxonomy places the organism in Eukaryota, Metazoa, Arthropoda, Insecta, Hemiptera, Aphididae.
GGGCAGUUUAUUCUAAUAAUUUGUAGUGGCACAGUAUGAUUUAUUUUUGGUGAGGGGAUGUAAAUUUCAAACAAAGUUCUGAACAGAUUUUUGGGGUGAAGUAGAAUAGUAGGUUAGUGGAGAGCGAUAACCAGUUUUUUAAUUAAUAGGGCUCCACCCUUCUCCCCUUACAAAGAAAACGAUAUACUUAAAAGUAGAAAAUCUCGUCAACGGCUUGACACAAAUUAAAAAUGU